UACGUAGGGUGCGAGCGUUGUCCGGAAUUACUGGGCGUAAAGAGCUCGUAGGCGGUUUGUCGCGUCUGCCGUGAAAGUCCGGGGCUCAACUCCGGAUCUGCGGUGGGUACGGGCAGACUAGAGUGAUGUAGGGGGAGACUGGAAUUCCUGGUGUAGCGGUGAAAUGCGCAGAUAUCAGGAGGAACACCGAUGGCGAAGGCAGGUCUCUGGGCAUUAACUGACGCUGAGGAGCGAAAGCAUGGGGAGCGAACAGG
Molecule: ribosomal RNA, 254 nt
Filed under: uncultured bacterium
Lineage: Bacteria
Description: partial 16S ribosomal RNA
Rfam family: Bacterial small subunit ribosomal RNA
Source: RNAcentral